AGAGAGAGGUGGAAAGGAGACUGUAAUAUGUGUGUGUGUGGCUCAAGGCUGCAUGUUUGUCCAAAGGCUAAAGACUGUCAACCAGCUCGUCGCUGGGGACGACGAGCGGGCGCGAGUCGUUACUAUCAGCACGUAAUUUAAUGCCGAGUACACGCGCCCGUGUGUGUUUUUCCAUGUGUGUUUGUGUUGCGAUUUCUGGAUGUCAGUUACAGUUCUGUGGGCCUGAGGAGAGUGCAGCGGCGUCCCUCAGGGCGCUGUUAGUGCCACUCGUACAGAUGUGCUGGGCUGCCACUCUGUCAGUUUCUCUGCGUGUGUGUGUGCGUGUGUGUCUGUCCUUCUCUUACAGGAAGCUGAAGUUGCUCCUCAGGGUUUAGAGUUCUUAUUAGGGUUGGAUAUUGUCUUGAAUUCAUCAGCCUUGGUUCUUAUUGAAUCCUGGUUCCAAUUCUUGUCAUAUCUUUUGAGCAAGAAAAGAAUGGUUGAAGGCCAAAAGACACAUUUUAUUUUAGGUUGCAAUAAAUUUGUGACAAAUAGUUUCCCAACAAAUCCUUGUUUCUUGGGAAUUGUGAAUGAAACCUAACUACAAUCUCUCUUUAAAUCUUCCAUUUUUUGAUUUAUUGUAUGGUAUUUUUGUGUUGUUGAUAGACAUCAUCAAUUAGGUUAAAGAUUUUCUUUUCAGGAAAGCUGCGUUUUUUCCAAACAUAAAAACUACAGAACAAACGCAGUAAUGUUUGCUUUAAAGACAGCGAUCAAAAUGACACACGAGGUGAAUUAAAGUAAUAAACUUUAUUUAAAAUGCGCGGUUGAAAAUAAGAUUCUUAACUUUGUCAAUUCAAUUUUCAGUAUUUUAAAAUACAUGUUUCUGUCCUGCCAGAUGAUGAUGAAGGAGAAGAAAGUGGCUGGUUGGUUUCUGCCAAGGACAAAGAGGCACGGAUCUACAACAGAGACAAGGGUGCGAGGAUGACGGCGCAGCGGAUGUCAAACAGAUACUACACCAACAAGAACGUCCAGUGUAGAAACUGCAACAAGAACGGACAUCUCUCCAAGAACUGCCCCGAGUCCAAAAAGUUAGCACCCUGCUUUCUUUGUGGCAAUUCAGGCCACAUGGCCGUUGGUUGUCCCAAUAAGCACUGCAACAACUGCGGCCUGCCGGGACACCUCUACAAUUCCUGCAGCGAGAAACGGUACUGGUACAAGCGGUGCGAGCGCUGCGGCAUGAAGGGUCACUACUACGACGUGAGUAUGGCAUUCGUUUUUUUAGUUCGGAAUCAGAAGGCUCUGCACAUUUGAGCUCUGAUGUUGGGCGAUAAGGCCAGUUCAACCCCAACGAUAGUCAUAUGGUCUAUUUCAGAGGUUCUCAAACUUUUUGGGGCUAAGGAACCCUUACAGGGGAGAAGAUUUUCCGAGGACCCCUCAUUAUUGCAAUACCACCUAAGCCUAUGCUUACUGCAAUCUGUACUCUCAGAUGCCAUUGGAACUAUUUCUAUCCUGAAACUUUUCCACCUAAAUACUUACUAAAAUACAAAAUUCUAUUUAAAUCAGGUUAACACAGGUGGCAACCUCCGGUUCUGAAAAGUGAAGCCAAUGCAGAAGUGUCUUAAACUUGCAUUCUUUCUACUGGCCAU
Long non-coding RNA from Anarrhichthys ocellatus (wolf-eel), 1622 nucleotides. RefSeq lists it as uncharacterized. The record is from RefSeq and is a predicted model, not a curated record. The transcript is spliced from 3 exons. NCBI's taxonomy places the organism in Eukaryota, Metazoa, Chordata, Actinopteri, Perciformes, Anarhichadidae.